This 2021-nucleotide long non-coding RNA is filed under the name Phoenix dactylifera (date palm). Its description in RNAcentral is "long non-coding RNA (PDAC_LNC013517)". Lineage: Eukaryota; Viridiplantae; Streptophyta; Magnoliopsida; Arecales; Arecaceae. The record is from RNAcentral.
AUAACCCCAAAAUAUUUUUUUUAUAUAAAAAGGGAUAGAAUAGUCCUUUUCAAUUAAUAUAAGGGGUAAAAUAGGAAAGAAUCAAAAGAUAAUGGCAUAGUUGUAGAUAUGUUGAAGUGUUAGGGGCAAAAUGGGAAUUUUUAGAGUUUGAUUUGACUUAAAUAGGGGUUGUCUGGCGGUGGGUUGGCUGAGAAGAGGGAAUUGAGACAGAGAGGGAGAGGAGGUCUCAGGCGACAGAGAGGAAGAAAAAGAAGAAGAGGAAAGGAAAGGAAGAAAGGAAGAGGAAGAAGAGGAAGAAAAAGAAAGGGAAAGGAAUCCCGGGUGCACUUCCAGCUGAAGGGAAAAAUGUAGAUCUCCUUCCCCUCUAUGCAAGGACCUCGAUUUCCAAAAAGAAAAAGGUAAAUAUCCGUCCCUAUCUAGUCUUUUGGUGACAUUAGGCUAUACAAAGGGUGGAUAUAGUCUAGAGGGGUCGGAUAAGGGUUGUAGAGGCGGUUAAAAGAGGAAGAAUCGGAUUUUGACAAAUUUUUCCGGCACUACGAAAAAACUGUGUCGAAGUUCCAACUUCGGCGAAUUAUUUAGGGGGUCAAACGACCUCCGAUAGCAAUGCAUGUUACCUCUUUGGAAUUUUCUAUGAGUGUAGAAUGUUAGGUAAAAAUUUCAUCAAAUUUGGAGUCUGGAAAGUGGAUCAAACCCGGGAUGAAGUAACCGGCUGUCGGUCCGGAUUACUGUUCAUCCGAGUGGAAAAUAAGGGAUUUCAUGCCAUAAUAGGGUAUUAAGCCCAGAUUAAGCUAAGGGGACCUUGUACUCAUGCAAGGGAGUCCCUAAUACACAUAAAUGGUGAGUUAAUUAAUUAAAAAAAAAAGAAGAAAGAAAAGAAAAGAUUUAGGGAACAGGGGAGUUGAAUCAAUUAAAGUUCCCUAUAUUAUAAUUGGCACGUAGAUUAUAACCCUUGAUACAAAACUAAAUAUAUUGUAAAUGCAUGUAUCAGUUGGGCAAGAAGUUAGGGAACAAGAGGAAGAAGUUCCCCACUGCCAGCUGUAAAUUCUAGAGGCGUAUCGAGGCCGUGCCGGAUUGACAGGUGAGUGGGAGUUUGUACUUUGCACCAUGAGCACAUUCCUUAUUCAUUUUCAUGAAUGUUGCCAAGUGUGACUUGAUUCCACCUGAGCUUAUUGAUUAAUUGUUGUAGNNNNNNNNNNNNNNNNNNNNNNNNNNNNNNNNNNNNNNNNNNNNNNNNNNNNNNNNNNAGGAAUUACGAGGGAUUGAUGAGUAAUCAAAUUGAUUCCGAAUUGUGAAAUGAUUUUUUUUGUAAAUUGAUUUCAUUUCCUCUAUUUCAAAGAUUUGUAGAGCCUUUUUAGUGGUAUAUUGAGUUGUAUUGCACUUCCUUGACCCUCACUCCCAACCCUGAUGUUAGUUUAUGAUUGGGUCGGAGUCGAGUGAGUGGUUGUCUUGAUCAUACUCUUUUUUAGUAGAGUAUUGGGAGGGUGCAUUAUGGCAUUCAUGCAUGGCUUGGCAGUAUCUGCAGGACACCUAUAGUCGAUGGGGUUGAACAUCGGCCUUUGUGCACAUAGUAGCCUUCUGGGUGGGCGAAGCCCAGUCCCUUCCUAGGGGGGACACGGCCCUAGGCGUAAGAUUGGUCAGUCCUACGACUUAUAUUCUGCUUGCCGCCGGGCAUAGUAAGAUCCUGCGAGGUGCAGUAUGGUUUUCCGCGGAUGUAGAAUUCCCGCGAGGUGCCGUUUAGUAUAUAGAUGUGAGAUGAAUUUUUGUUCUGGAUACUGGCCAACAUUUAUAUUAUCGGUAUGGUGUCUUAUCCUGCAUAUGCAUGUGAUAGUAGGGAGUUGUUGCUGGUUCGCCUGGGGCUUAAAACCUACCUUCCGACAGCUGUCUAGCAUUUACAUUAUCGAUAUGGUGUCUUAUCCUGCAUAUGCAUGUGACAGUAGGGAGUUGUUGCUGGUUCGCCUGGGGCGUAAAACCCACCUUCCGACAGCUGUCUAGUGAUGAUUUCAGCAUAUUGACACCUGAUU